Molecule: long non-coding RNA, 728 nt
Filed under: Amazona collaria (yellow-billed parrot)
Lineage: Eukaryota; Metazoa; Chordata; Aves; Psittaciformes; Psittacidae
Description: lncRNA (ENSACOG00000011593.1)
Source: RNAcentral
CGGGGCCAGACGGGCGGGGAGGCGGGGCCGCGCGGCGCCGCCGGGGCCUCCCCCGCUCCGCCGCCCAGUGACGGCUGGCGCCGGUGCCGCGAGCCGCGCUACGUAGGGACGUGGUCUGCCCGCUCGCCGCGCGGGCGGCCGGGCGGGUGGCUGAGGCGGGGGUGGCGCCAGAGCACGAGUUUAUAAAACCAUUUACUUAGCAGCAGAAGGGCAGUGAAUACGAGAAUUGUUGACAAUUGAAUCAUCUGCAAAAGUAUAGUAUGAGUGGUGUUCUCAGGAAACUGCCAGUUCUUCCACUGGGUGAAAAGGUGUUCUGGAAGUUAGCAGCCGUACUUCUGUUGACCUUGUUGGACUGGAAUUUGAAGUUGUACCUUAAUACCUCUUUUACCUUUCCUUUCUGAUUACAAGAUUGUUUGAUGUUUAUGCAUUCUUGCAAAUUCUUAGAAUCUAUGAAUGACAGUUGCUGUUCUAGGGUUAUCAAGGGAAGUCUUAGCAACUUCCUCUGGCAAUAACACAACCCAGUCUCUAUACAACUCACUGUUGCAUAGCUGGAGCAUUUAGAAAUCAUGAGUCACAUCUACAAGAAAUACAAUCCUCUUGUGGAACUUGCAGUAUUGUAAAUCAUAGAAUCAUGGAAUGCUUUGGGUUGGAAAUGCUGGUGUCUUUCUAUUUACCUUUUAAUUUUUGAGCCUUAACCUAUGCCGAAGUCACAUUCACAUUCUCAGGAA